GUCUGCCAAGCGCUGCUAGUUCCCCACAGCCCUGGGUGAGCCCAGGGAAGACUGGGCUGCAGUGCCCCCAUUUGGAGGUGAAAUGGGAGUGGAAUGUAGUUGGGAUGGCCAGAGAGUAGGAGACAUCCUAAGUGUGAGAUGUGGACAGGGCUGAAUGCUCCAGGGUCUCGUACCCCAGAGUGUGAGAUGCGGGCAGGGCUGAACGCUCUGGGGUCUCGUACCCCUGAGUGUGAGAUUCGGGCAGAGCUGAACAGGCUCCAGGGUCUCAUACCCCCAUAGCCUCCACCUGGGAUGCCCUCUCCAAGUCUGAUUUCUCCUCGAAGCCCCUGCCCUGUCCUCCAGAGUCUGAGCCCUUGCUUCCACCCCAG
Molecule: long non-coding RNA, 368 nt
Filed under: Homo sapiens (human)
Lineage: Eukaryota; Metazoa; Chordata; Mammalia; Primates; Hominidae
Description: HSALNT0067874
Source: RNAcentral